Molecule: transfer RNA, 68 nt
Filed under: Aposthonia borneensis
Lineage: Eukaryota; Metazoa; Arthropoda; Insecta; Embioptera; Oligotomidae
Description: tRNA-Leu
Source: RNAcentral
GCUAGCUUGGCAGAGUAGUGUGUUAAAUUUAGGAUUUAAAUAGAUAGUUGAUUUUUCUUUAAUUAGUG